This 2284-nucleotide ribosomal RNA is filed under the name human gut metagenome. Its description in RNAcentral is "bacterial LSU rRNA". It matches the Rfam family "Bacterial large subunit ribosomal RNA", at positions 517 to 2820 of the family's 2925-position model. The record is from RNAcentral.
AAAAGAACCCCGGGAGGGGAGUGAAAGAGAACCUGAAACCCUGCACUUACAAGCUGUAGGAGCACAUUAUUUGUGUGACUGCGUACUUUUUGUAGAACGGGCCAACGAGUUACGUUGUGUAGCAAGGUUAAGCACUUAAGGUGUGGAGCCGUAGCGAAAGCGAGUCUUAAAUGGGCGUCCAGUUACCCGACGUAGACCCGAAACCAGGCGACCUAUCCAUGAGCAGGUUGAAGCGAAAGUAAAAUUUCGUGGAGGACCGAACCCACGUACGUUGAAAAGUGCGGGGAUGACUUGUGGAUAGCGGUGAAAUUCCAAUCGAGCCUGGAGAUAGCUGGUUCUCCCCGAAAUAGCUUUAGGGCUAGCCUCAAGCUUAGAGAAACGGAGGUAGAGCACUGAAUGUCCUAGGGGGUAUUGCACUUACCGAAGACUAUCAAACUCCGAAUGCCGUAUUCUUUUGCUUGGGAGUCAGACUAUGGGUGAUAAGAUUCAUAGUCAAGAGGGCAACAGCCCAGAUCGUCAGCUAAGGUCCCUAAAUGUAAGUUAAGUGGUAAAGGAUGUGGAAUUGCACAGACAACCAGGAUGUUGGCUUAGAAGCAGCCACUCAUUUAAAGAGUGCGUAAUAGCUCACUGGUCGAGUGAUUCUGCGCCGAAAAUUUCCGGGGCUAAAACUUACUACCGAAGCUACGGCAUCAUUAUGAUGGGUAGGGGAGCUUUCUAUGUGGCUUGAAGCAUGACCGUAAGGACAUGUGGACUGCAUAGAAGUGAGAAUGUUGGCAUGAGUAGCGAGAUGUGGGUGAGAAUCCCACAGGCCGUAAACCCAAGGUUUCCAGGGGAAGGUUCGUCCGCCCUGGGUUAGUCAGGACCUAAGCCGAGGCCGAAAGGCGUAGGUGAUGGACAACAGGUUGAUAUUCCUGUACCACCAAUAACCGUUUGAGAAAUGGGAUGACACAGUAGGAUAAGCUAACCGCACUGUUGGUUAUGUGCGGGCAAGUAUUGAGGCAGUUCCGAUAGGCAAAUCCGUCGGAAUAAUGCUGGGGUACGAUGCGGAGCGAAAUUUAGUAGCGAAGUAGCUGAUUUCACACUGUCGAGAAAAGUCUCUAUCGAGGUUAAAGGUGCCUGUACCGCAAACCGACACAGGUGGGUGAGGAGAGUAUCCUAAGGCCAGCGAGAGAACUGUUGUUAAGGAACUCGGCAAAAUGACCCCGUAACUUAGGGAGAAGGGGUGCCUUCGAAAGAAGGCCGCAGAGAAUAGGCCCAAGCGACUGUUUACCAAAAACAUAGGUUUCUGCUAAGUCGCAAGACGAUGUAUAGGAGCUGACGCCUGCCCGGUGCUGGAAGGUUAAGGGGAUCUGUUAGAGCAAUCGAAGCAGUGAACUUAAGCCCCAGUAAACGGCGGCCGUAACUAUAACGGUCCUAAGGUAGCGAAAUUCCUUGUCGGGUAAGUUCCGACCCGCACGAAAGGCGUAACGAUUUGGGCACUGUCUCAACAACAGACUCGGUGAAAUUGUAAUACCGGUGAAGAUGCCGGUUACCUGCGACAGGACGGAAAGACCCCAUGGAGCUUUACUGUAGCUUGACAUUGAGUCUCGGUGCUACAUGUACAGGAUAGGUGGGAGACUAUGAAGCAUGGACGUCAGUCUGUGUGGAGUCAUCCUUGGGAUACCACCCUUGUAGUACUGGGAUUCUAACCAGAGGCCAUGAAUCUGGUCUUGGGACACUGUCAGGUGGACAGUUUGACUGGGGCGGUCGCCUCCCAAAAAGUAACGGAGGCGCUCAAAGGUUCUCUCAGUACGGUCGGAAAUCGUACGAAGAGUGUAAAGGCAAAAGAGAGCUUGAUUGCAAGACAUACAGGUCGAGCAAGGACGAAAGUCGGACUUAGUGAUCCGGUGGUUCCGCAUGGAAGGGCCAUCGCUCAACGGAUAAAAGCUACCCUGGGGAUAACAGGCUGAUCUCCCCCAAGAGUCCACAUCGACGGGGAGGUUUGGCACCUCGAUGUCGGCUCAUCACAUCCUGGGGCUGUAGUAGGUCCCAAGGGUUGGGCUGUUCGCCCAUUAAAGUGGUACGCGAGCUGGGUUCAGAACGUCGUGAGACAGUUCGGUCCCUAUCCGUCGCAGGCGUAGGAAAUUUGAGGAGACCUGUCCUUAGUACGAGAGGACCGGGAUGGACGUACCGCUGGUGUACCAGUUGUUCUGCCAAGGGCAUGGCUGGGUAGCUAAGUACGGAAAGGAUAAGCGCUGAAAGCAUCUAAGCGCGAAGCCCACUUCAAGAUAAGAUUUCCCAUCCG